Molecule: long non-coding RNA, 320 nt
Organism: Nicotiana tabacum (common tobacco)
Lineage: Eukaryota; Viridiplantae; Streptophyta; Magnoliopsida; Solanales; Solanaceae
Source: RefSeq, a predicted model, not a curated record
UAGUAGUCGGUGGUGUUCUUCCAUGUCCGUCUCCUAUUUUUCUCUCCGGUUCUCCAAAAUUCAAGCUAACUACGUUGAGUGUUGGUUGGAUUUUCCGAGGUCUUAGCCCAUUUCUAUUGGUGUAAGCAUAAUUUGUUCGAAGUUAAUUUGGCAAGAGAAUAAGGUGAAUGGGUCCAGAAAUUGAUUCAAUAACAUGUUGAUUCUUGCACAGUUUUGAAUAGCAUUAUGAUACUGAAGAGCAAAAGAUUAAUGUACGGAAGAGAUGUGUUGUUGUAGGAUGAAAGCAUGGUAAAAAAUAGUAUAAAUACAGUUAUUUAAUA